AAAUUUAAUCUGGGUCCAGUCAGUGGCCAAUUUAAGAAAGCUCAAGAAGUAAUCACUAUCCCAUAGAUAGCGCCAUCCAGCUUUCGUAUACAGUACAACUGGCCACAGAUAGUUAUUUCGAACCCUGGUACAUAUAGGCUCUAUAUAUCUAAAUAAUAACAUAUAUACGAAUAAGUGCGAUGUUCCACUCAAUCUUUGUUCAUCCAACGAUAAAGGCCGUUUGCAAAAUUAACAGUGAUUUAUGCACGGCAUGCAGCCUUUCAGGUUCCUAAUUUUAAAAGGGUCUAAAGGGUUUAAACGACAAAAUAUUCAGACUUCUCUGCCUGGAUCUCAACAAGCCCAGUAUUAUACAGUGUGCAUAAAAAAAAUUAACCAGGUAACCCUUUCCAUAACGACAGGCCCUUAUGAAACGUUGUAUAGGCUACGUUAACACUAAGGCAAAAGUUUCAGGAUUCGUGGAUCAUGAAAGUACCGGAUUCCUUGUUUUUUACGUAUACAGAUUCGCGAGGUGUGUACACUAAUAAUACUAUACACAGCAAUUGUCAAUGUAAUCAGGAUGUUUUGACCAUCUUUGGCUUCCAAAUUUAACACUGACAAUAAAUUUGAAAAACUUACUGUAUAAGCGGGAGCAAAUUUAUUCGAAUUUUUUACGCAAAAUGUUCGCACGAGAUUUUUUCCCAACUCGAAAGUUUCAGGUUUAUGCUCUUUCUUCGGUCAUUUUGAAUCGGACUUUUCAUGCUCGUGUAGUGUUAAACGGCAAAUGAAUCCGAUAUUAAAACACCCAGGAUUCGU
Non-coding RNA from Paramuricea clavata, 792 nucleotides. The record is from the annotation of a GenBank genome assembly. Lineage: Eukaryota; Metazoa; Cnidaria; Anthozoa; Malacalcyonacea; Plexauridae.